Molecule: ribosomal RNA, 242 nt
Filed under: uncultured bacterium
Lineage: Bacteria
Description: partial 16S ribosomal RNA
Rfam family: Bacterial small subunit ribosomal RNA
Source: RNAcentral
GAAGGUCCGGGCGUUAUCCGGAUUUAUUGGGUUUAAAGGGAGCGUAGGCCGGAGAUUAAGCGUGUUGUGAAAUGUAGACGCUCAACGUCUGCACUGCAGCGCGAACUGGUUUCCUUGAGUACGCACAAAGUGGGCGGAAUUUGUGGUGUAGCGGUGAAAUGCUUAGAUAUCACGAAGAACUCCGAUUGCGAAGGCAGCAUACGGCAGCGCUACUGACGCUGAAGCUCGAAAGCGCGGGUAUC